CCUACGGGAGGCUGCAGUAAGGAAUAUUGGUCAAUGGGCGCAAGCCUGAACCAGCCAUGCCGCGUGCAGGAAGACGGCCCUCUGGGUUGUAAACUGCUUUUAUACCGGAAUAAACCUCUCUACGUGUAGGGAGCUGAAUGUACGGUAGGAAUAAGGAUCGGCUAACUCCGUGCCAGCAGCCGCGGUAAUACGGAGGAUCCGAGCGUUAUCCGGAUUUAUUGGGUUUAAAGGGUGCGUAGGCGGCCUGUUAAGUCAGGGGUGAAAGACGGUGGCUC
RNAcentral lists this ribosomal RNA (275 nucleotides) under uncultured bacterium. RNAcentral describes it as "partial 16S ribosomal RNA". It matches the Rfam family "Bacterial small subunit ribosomal RNA", at positions 338 to 610 of the family's 1533-position model. The record is from RNAcentral.